UACGUAGGGUGCGAGCGUUAAUCGGAAUUACUGGGCGUAAAGCGUGCGUAGGCGGUUCGUUAUGUCUGCUGUGAAAUCCCCGGGCUCAACCUGGGAAUGGCAGUGGAAACUGGCGGGCUUGAGUGUGGCAGAGGGGGGUGGAAUUCCGCGUGUAGCAGUGAAAUGCGUAGAGAUGCGGAGGAACACCGAUGGCGAAGGCAGCCCCCUGGGCUAACACUGACGCUGAGGCACGAAAGCGUGGGGAGCAAACAGG
Molecule: ribosomal RNA, 253 nt
Filed under: uncultured bacterium
Lineage: Bacteria
Description: partial 16S ribosomal RNA
Rfam family: Bacterial small subunit ribosomal RNA
Source: RNAcentral